AGUAAAUGUCGUCAUAAAUGGGCGCGGUGGAGGAUCGACCAAUAGGAGCGAGCGACUAACGACACUUUCAACUGCUCUCAGGAAUAUUACAGAAACCAUCAAGCCGCCUUGAAGUAGUGGGAACUGCCGUGACUAAACUGCGGAGUUCACAUGGCCGAGAUGUGAUAUUUAAGAAGAAAAUGUCUGAAGUUAUCUGAAAACCGUGUAAGUAUAGUAUCUCAACCAGUCGACCUUAAGGAAUCACCUAGCGUGCACUUAUGAAUAAGUAUAUCCCUUGUCCUCUGUAACUGUGUGGCAAAAGUAGCGACAUGUUGCUUGAAAAAAUAAAACAGCCUAAAUUGCAGGCCUAGUCCAAAUGAUUUUUCUCGACUAGCACCUGACUGGUCUGCACAACUUCAACUUCGAAAUUCUCAGUGUCCGAGGCGUCUUGAAAGCAUCAUGAAAAUUACAGUGCUCCGGUGUUGUUUUGACUGCGGUACGUCUGUGUGCUCAAGCAAGACUGCAGAGCCAUUUCAGCCUGUGAUGCUUCUCUACCUCUGUAAACUCACCUGGCAGCAGUCCAGUCCAGAAAAUAAAGGUGGAAAACCCUGCAAAUCUUGCCAUAGUCUGUGGCCUUAGCCACGUCAGAUCAGGGCCUCAUCAAGGCAGGAAGUGAACCCUCCA
Xiphias gladius (swordfish) is the source of this 663-nucleotide long non-coding RNA. RefSeq lists it as uncharacterized. The record is from RefSeq and is a predicted model, not a curated record. The transcript has 2 exons. NCBI's taxonomy places the organism in Eukaryota, Metazoa, Chordata, Actinopteri, Istiophoriformes, Xiphiidae.